Molecule: unclassified non-coding RNA, 363 nt
Filed under: Hevea brasiliensis (rubber tree)
Lineage: Eukaryota; Viridiplantae; Streptophyta; Magnoliopsida; Malpighiales; Euphorbiaceae
Source: RNAcentral
GGCAAUGAAGAUCCUGGACCCGAGGCUUCCGACGGUGCCACUCCACGAAGUAAUGCAUGUGUUCUAUGUCGCAAUGCUGUGCGUGGAAGAGCAGAGUGUGGAGCGCCCGACCAUGAGGGAGGUUGUUCAGAUACUGACCGAGCUGCCAGAGCCGGCAGGGUCGGAGCUGGAAGAGGAGUCGCCUGAUGGCGACACAUCUGGCACGGGAGUGCUCGCCGGUGGCGAGGUUGGUGACGACAAUCCGCGAUCACCGACAGCUGAUCUGCUCGGCAUUUGAAUUGGUGUGCAUUUUGUUUGAUUUUGAUGGGUACCUCUUUAGAUAGGGCCUGUAUGUUGGUUGGGAAUUUUGUACAGCUGAAUUUG